This is a transfer RNA of Cylindrobasidium torrendii FP15055 ss-10, 82 nucleotides long. It matches the Rfam family "tRNA". From Rfam's summary of the family: Transfer RNA (tRNA) molecules are approximately 80 nucleotides in length. Their secondary structure includes four short double-helical elements and three loops (D, anti-codon, and T loops). Further hydrogen bonds mediate the characteristic L-shaped molecular structure. tRNAs have two regions of fundamental functional importance: the anti-codon, which is responsible for specific mRNA codon recognition, and the 3' end, to which the tRNAs corresponding amino acid is attached (by aminoacyl-tRNA synthetases). tRNAs cope with the degeneracy of the genetic code in two manners: having more than one tRNA (with a specific anti-codon) for a particular amino acid; and 'wobble' base-pairing, i.e. permitting non-standard base-pairing at the 3rd anti-codon position. NCBI's taxonomy places the organism in Eukaryota, Fungi, Basidiomycota, Agaricomycetes, Agaricales, Physalacriaceae. The record is from Rfam.
GACCCCUUAGCUCAGUGGUAGAGCGUGUGAUUCCAGUGCUGGAACCUCCACAAGGUCGUCCGUUCAAUCCGGGCAGGGGUCA